Molecule: non-coding RNA, 45 nt
Filed under: Schistosoma mansoni
Lineage: Eukaryota; Metazoa; Platyhelminthes; Trematoda; Strigeidida; Schistosomatidae
Source: RNAcentral
AUCCAGCUGACAAGUUCCAUAUAGGACUAAACAUCAGUCCUGGAU